AUUAUAAAUUUGAGAUUUUAAAAUUUUAAAAUUUAAUUUUGAUUUUUAAAAUUUAAAAGUUUAUAUUUUAAAUUUUAAAAUUAAAAUAUAAAAUAUAAAAAUUCUAAUUCUAAUAUAAAGAAAAGAAUAAUAUUAUUAUUUUUUAUUUAUAACUACCCACUUUAAUUCUUAUUCUAUCUUAUCUUAUCAAACGCUAUUUUUCUUAUUUUAAAAAAUAACUUAAUUUUCAUCUAAACGCAAAAUUAAUCUAAUCUCUCCUUAUAUCUCAAUUUAUACCUAUUUUCAGAAUACCCAUUUUUUACUUAUUUUCGAACCAAACGGUACCUUAGAAAAUAAGCUCUCUCGAGACAAGUUUUUGUACCAGAAAAGAGUG
RNAcentral lists this long non-coding RNA (373 nucleotides) under Ananas comosus (pineapple). RNAcentral describes it as "long non-coding RNA (ACOM_LNC011024)". Lineage: Eukaryota; Viridiplantae; Streptophyta; Magnoliopsida; Poales; Bromeliaceae. The record is from RNAcentral.